Tinamus guttatus (white-throated tinamou) is the source of this 370-nucleotide non-coding RNA. The record is from RefSeq and is a predicted model, not a curated record. Lineage: Eukaryota; Metazoa; Chordata; Aves; Tinamiformes; Tinamidae.
UGUAACUUUAUUUUUUUAGGUUUUAAUAGCCAUUGGUCGUGAUGCAUGUACCAGAAAUAUUGGUUUAGAGACAAUUGGCGUCAAAAUCAAUGAGAAGAAUGGGAAAGUACCUGUAAAUGAUGAAGAACAAACCAAUGUGCCUUAUGUUUACGCUAUUGGUGAUAUCUUGGAAGGAAAACUUGAACUUACUCCAGUUGCCAUUCAAGCAGGAAAACUGCUAGCCCGAAGACUUUAUGGUGGUGGCUCUACAAAGUGUGACUAUAUCAAUGUACCAACGACAGUGUUUACUCCUUUAGAGUACGGCUGCUGUGGAUUAGCUGAAGAGAGAGCCAUAGAACAAUACGGAAAGCAAAACUUGGAGGUGAGAACA